GGGGGCUUAGCUCAGCCGGGAGAGCGCCUGCUUUGCACGCAGGAGGUCAGCGGUUCGAUCCCGCUAGUCUCCACCA
Molecule: transfer RNA, 76 nt
Filed under: Staphylococcus aureus
Lineage: Bacteria; Bacillati; Bacillota; Bacilli; Caryophanales; Staphylococcaceae
Also listed under: 5 other names
Description: tRNA-Ala(tgc)
Rfam family: tRNA
About the family: Transfer RNA (tRNA) molecules are approximately 80 nucleotides in length. Their secondary structure includes four short double-helical elements and three loops (D, anti-codon, and T loops).
Source: RNAcentral